RNAcentral lists this ribosomal RNA (406 nucleotides) under uncultured bacterium. Its description in RNAcentral is "partial 16S ribosomal RNA". It matches the Rfam family "Bacterial small subunit ribosomal RNA", at positions 360 to 773 of the family's 1533-position model. The record is from RNAcentral.
AAUAUUGCGCAAUGGACGGAAGUCUGACGCAGCGACGCCGCGUGAGCGAUGAAGGCCUUCGGGUCGUAAAGCCCUGUCCUUGGGGAAGAAGGUCUUCGGACUUGACGGUACCCAAGAAGAAAGCCCCGGCUAAUUACGUGCCAGCAGCCGCGGUAAUACGUAGGGGGCGAGCGUUGUCCGGAAUUACUGGGCGUAAAGGGUGGGUAGGCGGCCCUUUAAAUCAGAUGUGAAAGGCCACGGCUUAACCGUGGGAUUGCAUUUGAAACUGGAGGGCUUGGGUGUCGGAGAGGGUAGUGGAAUUCCCCGUGUAGCGGUGAAAUGCGUAGAUAUUGGGAGGAACACCAGUGGCGAAGGCGACUACCUGGACGAUAACUGACGCUGAGGCACGAAAGCUAGGGGAGCAAAC